AACCAUAUGUCUAUCACUGCAAGGCCAUGACUAGCUCAAAUCAGGUUUCCUUGUCCUCAUGUCAAUGUGAAUCUGCAUGUUUAUAAGCAUGGCUGUUUGAGACACGGAGGAAGAAAAUGGCCUAAUGGAUCCAUGUAAAUGAAGAUGGAGAGUAAAUAGACGUGGAAAUUUUGAAAUUGGGCUGGCACGCUAAUCAGAGGCAGACGGGAGACACCAAUCAGUCUUCCAGGACGGAUACCGGGCACAUCCAAUGGCACUUCUUAUUUCCAUUCUCCACGCUCGUAAAUCCUGUCAGCUCCCUCACACACAGACAGCGGCUGCAUUUCACGCUGUUCUCUGAGCCACAAUCAGCAGAGCUACAGUCUCUGUGGCUGGAGGAGAGGAGAGAGGGAAUGAGACAGAGGGAGAGAGAUUUAUGUUCUUUUUUUUAUUCGGAUCCCCAUUAGCUGUUAAAGAAGCAGCAGCUAUUCUUCCUGGCAUCCACACAAAACAUAGGACAAAAUACAGAACACUAAUGGACUUGAGGUAUGGUUUUUAAAACAGAUUUUAUUGCUUGCCUGAGUUACCUGAGGUGGAAGAGAAUUCCAUGUAGUCAUUGCUCUAUACAGUACUGUGUGUCUCCCAGCCUCUGUUCUGGACUCGGAGACUGUGAAGAGACCCUUGAUUGCGUAUCUUUUGGAGUAUGUAUAGGGUUUUGAAUUGUGAUAACUGUCUGAACAGUCUAUUCGGUACUGUCAGCACGUCAAUACUUCUUACAAAGACCAGCAGUGAUUCAGUCAAUCUCUCCUCCACUCCGAACCAAGAGAGACAUACGUGCAUGUUAUUGAAAUUGGCAAUUCAUGUACAUUUGAUGGCCAGACGUGCUGCUCGGUUCUGGGUCAGCUGCAGCUUUUCUAGGAAAACAGCUGCAGUGCAGCAAGGCAGUUUGAUGGCACUGGGUCUGACUCCCAUCAUGGUAUUACAGUCACAUGGUAUCAGUCUGCACAAAACCAAUAUCAGCAUCAACAGCACUUUGGCUAUACCGUAAACCAUUCUCUCUGCAACUCCUCUGAUUCCUCACGAGGCCAAGAUUAACACACACACACUCUACUCUACUCUGGAGUGGCACAUUUGGAGUGGCUGACCAGCGAGGAGCAGAGAAGUGUUAAUGCUGUCGGGGAGGAGAAAGGCUGAGCCCUGAGUGGUUUGUUGUCUCCCUCUGUGAAUUACACAUUCUGUUGACAGUAGAUGGGAUUCUGCCAUCUGAAGAAUUACAGCUGUACAUAGGGAUGUCAAGUGCCACUCAGCGAGGAGUCUCCACUAUGAUUGCAAUCAAUAUCGGUUAAAGUGGAGGUUAACAGCACAGUGACUGUCAGUAGUUUCAGCUGGUUGGUUAUUGGCAUCGUAUCUGUGAACUAUUGACACAUAAUUUCCCUUCCCACAGAUUCCCUCCGAGAGGCUCUUAGUAACUUGAAGCAGAUAACACAAAAGUUCAAUUUCAAUCAAAAGUACUGCAAAGCAACACAAAAUAUAUAAGUAGUUUACGCUUUUUGCUUUCAAAUAAACAACUAUUUCCACAAAGAAAACAGAGAAUUAGAGAAACCUAGGAGAUUCCGCAAAAAUAUAAGCAAGGAAGAUAUCAGCAACCCAAAACUGAUUCAGAUUGCUACCAUAUAAAGGACAAAACUAUAAGAAUAGCUGUAAAUAUUGUUGUUUCUGGGGAAUUUGUAAGGGAAAAUACAUCCAACACGUUCCUUAUAAUUUGGUCAAUAUAUCCCAACCACAACUGAAAUAACAAUUUCUGUAUUACUUGAAACUGUUGGUCAGUUCAGAAAGUAACCACGCCUGGCAAUUUUAUGCAGAACCAUUGUGUGAAAGUCAGUUCUGGAUCUGUUCAGUUCGAUUGAACGUUUCUACAUUGUAUAAUGUCUUGUACUGAACAACACAUUUCCCCAAAACACUUUUCAACAUUCUUGAACAGACUUUGAGGUAGCUUACGUUUGCUCCAUUUGGUGGGUGUGGCGGGGUGUGGCUUGAAGCAAUGAGUGGCGUACUUGAAGCGCAGCGGUACAUUUUGAACCCACAACCCACCCCUCCCCAUUUUUCAACUGGUCAUUCAACAGCACUGUUUCCGUUUAAUUUAACCUUGCAUUACAUUUUUUCGUACUGAACGCAGCCCUGGUGACUUUUCUAGUCCAAAAUGUAUGGUGGCAUCAUUCAAAUAUAAUUUUCCCCUCCAAAAAAUGUUCCUAACUGAUUUAGUUUAGUAGCUAUAACUAAAUAGGCUGAAGCAUCGGGUUGCCCAUCUGUAUUUGUGCUAAUCAUUAGCUAGAUCAAUGCAUCUCAAACUUUUUCAGUCAUGGCCACCUUUCAUCAUGGGGGAACAUUCUAUGCCCCCUCACCUCCCUCAAUUAAAUGAACUGCAACUAUUGUUUCACAAAAAUAAAGUAUAAGAAUACCUUUUAUUCAUCAAAAAACAGUAUAUACAAACACCAGCAUCUGGUUUCCCUUCCAUAUUGAAAUAAAAAAAACUAUUAAUGAAGGAGAAAUAAACCUGCUCAUUGCUGUGCAAUAUCACAUCCAUCUCUAUCAAUAAAGACUAUUGUCAUGACUCUCCUAUGAUGAUCCAAAAGAUCAGAUUGCAGUGGAUCAGCUCUACAGAGUUAUAUCUCCAACAGAGGGGGGAGGGAUGGAUGUGGGGGUUUUAUGACACUUCACGUCGGUCAUAAACCAUAGGCAGCUGACAAUUCCUUUUGGGGUCUAGUUUGGGUGAUUGGAAUGUCUGUGUGCCUUAUGAAGAGUUUGCUGCCCAAAAACUACAACAUCAAACAAUGGACACUGGAACAACAUAUUUCAACAUCUUAAUUUUAUGAAACAAUUAAUGUCUAUUUUGUGAAAGUAGCAUGAAGACGUUAUAACGAAAACGUAACUUGAAGAGUUUUCAUACUGUGUAUAUCAUGUUUACAUACUUUACGUUGCGUGGAAAAUGUAUAGGAUGAAGAGAAUGUUUUGUUGACAAUAAGAUUGUGAUUUUAGUUCUCUAACGAGAUCAUAGUAAAUUGUGAAACCUUGCCUCGUAACUAGCCACGCCCCAGGGAACCCAGAGAGCGUGUCAACGUGAUGUAAACGCCCCCUUUUUACCCGAGGGUAUAAAGCGUUUGAGUUAAGAAUUCAUUUGGGGGGGGGGUGGCCUGUUUUGUGACUAUGUUUAACAGCAGAGAAAGCCCCCUAAAUGAUAUUUUUUUCAAUUUGAAAUUUGAUGAUUUUUCCUAGCAACCCCAACAUUAAAAAAGUUAAACAUUG
Molecule: long non-coding RNA, 3282 nt
Organism: Oncorhynchus kisutch (coho salmon)
Lineage: Eukaryota; Metazoa; Chordata; Actinopteri; Salmoniformes; Salmonidae
Exons: 3
Source: RefSeq, a predicted model, not a curated record